UACGGAGGGUGCAAGCGUUAAUCGGAAUUACUGGGCGUAAAGCGUGCGCAGGCGGUUGUGCAAGACAGAUGUGAAAUCCCCGGGCUUAACCUGGGAAUGGCAUUGGUGACUGUACGGCUAGAGUGUGUCAGAGGGGGGUAGAAUUCCACGUGUAGCAGUGAAAUGCGUAGAGAUGUGGAGGAAUACCGAUGGCGAAGGCAGCCCCCUGGGAUAACACUGACGCUCAUGCACGAAAGCGUGGGGAGCAAACAGG
Molecule: ribosomal RNA, 253 nt
Filed under: uncultured bacterium
Lineage: Bacteria
Description: partial 16S ribosomal RNA
Rfam family: Bacterial small subunit ribosomal RNA
Source: RNAcentral